Lagenorhynchus albirostris (white-beaked dolphin) is the source of this 1170-nucleotide long non-coding RNA. RefSeq lists it as uncharacterized. The record is from RefSeq and is a predicted model, not a curated record. Lineage: Eukaryota; Metazoa; Chordata; Mammalia; Artiodactyla; Delphinidae. The transcript is spliced from 2 exons.
GGAAAGGGAAAAAGCAAACGAAAGAAAAAGUCGUUUGAGAAAGAGCAGCGUUCACACAAUACACACCGCAAGAGUAAGAUUCAGUCUGUGGGCAGGCAGGCCCACUGUGCCCCCGAAUCGUCACACGAGGACCCGCCGCUCUACCCCCAUCCCAUCCCGCUGCGGGUCCAAGCACCGCAGCCCCAUACGUUUCGACCCUUCUCGGCACGGUUGCUCUCUAAUUCACCGCGCAGAGUCUCCAUUGAUGAGCCUCUGCCAGCAACUGGCCGCGGUCCAGGGCCCAGCGCUGGCCAGGCAGGUGUUGGGGAUGCCUCGGAGGACGCCAGCACUGACCCUCUCGCUCAGGCCUCCGAGCCCCGGGCUUUGGGGACACUUGAGGUCUAUGCGGAGCUCGGCGGACUGAAGGUCGCAGUGACCCAGCAUCCCUGAGCCCCGCCCGCACCAGGGCGCGCUUGCAUAAAGUUGCCCAGGUGAAUCAGUGCAAGUGAGUGAAGAAAUAAAGGAAUGGAGCGAGAGAGAGAGCCCGGUCCCCUUGUGCACACAGCUCACGUGCUCGGGGCGAAGCCCGUGCUGGCGAUGUGGAGUUUAACACCCAGGUCCUACACAACCCAGGCUCGCGCGCGCUCUCCGGACGAAAUGCAAGACAUUAUUAUUGGAGACAACAAUCACAACAUGUAUUCUCUUUGUCCCCGCCCCCGCUGUUUUCUCCAUCUUUGCUGUCGGACUCUGGAAUCCAACUGGACCUCUCUGCGCUCCCCGGCGCCCGCGCAGCUUCCUAUCCUGGCGCACUGGGGGCGGCACCACAGCGCGCACGCUCUGUUCUGGAACCGCUCACGGAGGGCGCCAGGGGCUGCGAGCCGGGAAGGGGACGCCCACGGCCGGCAAGGGGGCGCUGUCCCCAGAGGCCUCUGACCCUGAGGAGCAUCGUCCCGCCCUGGAGCGACGGAUUGGGAGAGGAGGUCUGAGUCAUGCACGGAGUAACCCACCACUGAAGACAGGUCCUGACUGCAGAUCCCUCGGUCCUCUCCCAGUGCCGCCUCCUUUCAGGGUUGCCUCUGCGGAGCCCUGCACGGGGUGGAGGGGGGCCGCUCAGUAAAUAUUUGUGGAUGGGAUUCCAGGAUCUCGUCAAGCCUUAUGACUGCCCUGUUUUAUACAGUAGGAUGUGUCUAA